CCUACGGGUGGCAGCAGUAGGGAAUCUUCCACAAUGGACGAAAGUCUGAUGGAGCAACGCCGCGUGAGUGCAGAAGGGUUUCGGCUCGUACAGCUCUGUUGGUAGUGAAGAAAGAUAGAGGUAGUAACUGGCCAUUAUUUGACGGUAAUUACUUAGAAAGUCAGGGCGAACUACGUGCCCGCAGCCGAGGUAAUCCGGAGGUGGGAAGAGUUGUCCGGAUUUAUUGGGCGUAAAGCGAGUGCAGGCGGUUCAAUAAGUCUGAUGUGAAAGCCUUCGGCUCAACCGGAGAAUUGCAUCAGAAACUGUUGAACUUGAGUGCAGAAGAGGAGAGUGGAACUCCAUGUGUAGCGGUUGAAUGCUUAGAUAUAUGGAAGAACACCAGUGGCGAAGGCGGCUCUCUGGUCUGCAACUGACGCUGAGGCUCGAAAGCAUGGGUAGCGAACAGGAUUAGAUACCCCAGUAGUC
Molecule: ribosomal RNA, 465 nt
Filed under: uncultured bacterium
Lineage: Bacteria
Description: partial 16S ribosomal RNA
Rfam family: Bacterial small subunit ribosomal RNA
Source: RNAcentral